GUGCGUAACGCGUAUACAAUCUGCCUUUCACAUAGGGAUAGCCCGAAGAAAUUUGGAUUAAUACCUAAUGGUAUAUAAGAGCGGCAUCGUUUUUAUAUUAAAGCUACGGUGGUGAAAGAUGAGUAUGCGUUCUAUUAGCUAGUUGGAGAGGUAACGGCUCCCCAAGGCGACGAUAGAUAGGGGUUCUGAGAGGGAUGUCCCCCACACUGGUACUGAGAUACGGACCAGACUCCUACGGGAGGCAGCAGUGAGGAAUAUUGGACAAUGGUCSGAAGACUGAUCCAGCCAUGCCGCGUGCAGGAUGAAGGUCCUAUGGAUUGUAAACUGCU
Molecule: ribosomal RNA, 329 nt
Filed under: Capnocytophaga sp. AHN9763
Lineage: Bacteria; Pseudomonadati; Bacteroidota; Flavobacteriia; Flavobacteriales; Flavobacteriaceae
Description: bacterial SSU rRNA
Rfam family: Bacterial small subunit ribosomal RNA
Source: RNAcentral